RNAcentral lists this ribosomal RNA (484 nucleotides) under uncultured bacterium. RNAcentral's name for it is "partial 16S ribosomal RNA". It matches the Rfam family "Bacterial small subunit ribosomal RNA", at positions 30 to 507 of the family's 1533-position model. The record is from RNAcentral.
ACUGAACGCUGGCGGCAGGCCUAACACAUGCAAGUCGAGCGGAUGAAGGGAGCUUGCUCCUGGAUUCAGCGGCGGACGGGUGAGUAAUGCCUAGGAAUCUGCCUGGUAGUGGGGGAUAACGUCCGGAAACGGGCGCUAAUACCGCAUACGUCCUGAGGGAGAAAGUGGGGGAUCUUCGGACCUCACGCUAUCAGAUGAGCCUAGGUCGGAUUAGCUAGUUGGUGGGGUAAAGGCCUACCAAGGCGACGAUCCGUAACUGGUCUGAGAGGAUGAUCAGUCACACUGGAACUGAGACACGGUCCAGACUCCUACGGGAGGCAGCAGUGGGGAAUAUUGGACAAUGGGCGAAAGCCUGAUCCAGCCAUGCCGCGUGUGUGAAGAAGGUCUUCGGAUUGUAAAGCGCUUUAAGUUGGGAGGAAGGGCAGUAAGUUAAUACCUUGCUGUUUUGACGUUACCAACAGAAUAAGCACCGGCUAACUUCGUG